RNAcentral lists this long non-coding RNA (18681 nucleotides) under Lathyrus oleraceus (garden pea). RNAcentral's name for it is "Pisum sativum (pea) long non-coding RNA (PSAT_LNC010799)". The record is from RNAcentral. Lineage: Eukaryota; Viridiplantae; Streptophyta; Magnoliopsida; Fabales; Fabaceae.
GAGUAAACUCUAAUUGUAGCAAAACUUAAGUGAGUGAGACCAAAAGCAAAUGGCCAAAUGAGGAAAUGCAAGGGCUGGUUGGUUUAUGCAGCAUGACAUGGAAAUAAGUCCAACAGGGUGACUUUAAGACUUUGUAACUUGAUGAAUACACAACCAAAUGACAAGGCAAUGCAAACAGUAGAAAGAGGGCAUGGAGCUUAACAUUAUUAACGUUGAACACAACUUGAAAUGAUGAGUGGAAAGAGGUGAAAAUUUUCCAUAAAGUGCAGGUCCAAUAGCUGCAAAAUGGUUGGGCCAGUUUGGCCUAAAUGCUGUCAAAAAAUUCAGUCUAUGAUACCAACUUUAGAUGAGUGUAUCUUUCAAACCAAUGAUCCAAAUGGGAUGAUUCCAAAAGGAAUGUGAAAGGGACAUAGAAAGGCUACAACUGUUUCAUGAAGAAAGUAUUUUCAAAAGAUGCCUUGAGAGUGCGAAGGAAAUCUUGAGCCACAUAAGCUUGCAAAACUGAAGUGAUUGUUGGACUUAGAAAAUUUUCUAAGUGUCCUAAAAAAAUCUAUCCUUAACUUCUUGACCAAGCAUUAACUUUCUCAAUUUAAUCCCAAAUGACAACAAACUUUCAUAUCUCUAGAAAGCUUCCUGCGAACAAGAAGAAACAUUUCAUGUUGGAAGACAUUUCAAAUAAGGGCUUGAUUCUUGAUGGGAAUAUAGGCUUAAGUGUAGGCGUGCAAAAACCAUAAAAACUUGCACCUUCUUAAUGCGGCAAAGUCAACUCAUUUCCACCUCUUCCGUUAACUUUUCCAACUCCUGAUUAAAUGAUGAAUCCAUGAUCCAACCUUGAUCAAAUUUCACAUGUAGGCUCCCUUAGGCAUGAAUUUUGAGAUUCCACUUUCAAAAUGUCAAGAGUUAACUUUUCCGGCCCCACAGUUGACUUUUCCCAAUCUGUAUGAUUCCUGAUUCCAUUGAUCAAUUGAAGCACCUCUAGCUCAAAUAAAGAGCUGAUUUUUGUAUGUAGACCCUUGUGGACAUAUGGAGGGCCAUGGAAAUGAGUUUCACCCAAGGAAUCAGAAAUAGACUGAUUUUAUACCAAACCCUAGUUUUAGGGCAAACUGAUCAGGAACUGAUUGCACUGAUUGCCAAUGGAUAUUUCUGAGAUAAUUGUGGAUCUUCUUAGGCCAAGAUGCCUCUAUAAUCAUGACAUGAAUGAGCCCCUUUUACUUCCAACCAAACAUUGCCUGUUGCAGAUAGCCAUGAAACCCUAAUUUCUGAUUAAAUGCAGAUGCACACUCUGAGAGCUCUGAAUCUUCCACUGGUGAACUGUAGACCAUAAUAAGAUACCUGGACCACCUUGAGACCCUUGAGACUUGUAUAUUUGGAGAAUGAAGUUCAAUUCUCAGUCUUGCUUUGUGUGGGCUCCUUCUGGUAAGGAGUGGUCAAUCAAACCCUGAUUUCCCAAGUCACUGAUGCAGUAUGCAAUGAGUAUGACCUAGUAUGAGGCUAAUACAAUGUGAAACACAAUCCCAUGCUUCCAAUAAAAAUGAAGGGUAAAUUUUAGGGUAUUACAGCUGCCCCUAUUCAAUCAACUAGAGACCCGGAAGGAAGAUAGCAGCGGUUUUCGCACUUUCGAGGUAUCAAAGGAUUGAAUACAAUAAAAAACCCGGAAAUUUACACUGAAGUGAAGUGAAGUAACAAUGCCUGUCAGAAUCGGCAAAGAGGUGGUUUUGAUCUGAAUAUCAACAAAGAAUCCGUCUGGUAUGGUGAGAAUUGGUCUGAACACCGAAAAAAGAGAAUGUCAGCCUGAAUAUCAAAAUAAAUGGUAGCACAAAAAUAACCAUGGCCUGAAUGCCGCUCAUCAGUCUGAAUACUGGGAAUGACUUCGAUCUGAGCAUCAAAAGAUAUUAGGUUACCAAACAUCGGUCUGAACACCGGGAAACUGGCCUGAAUGCCACUUCGGUCUGAAUACCGGAAAAACUGGCCUGAAUGCCACAAGUUGCAUCGACCUGAACGUCAAAAACUUCUUCGAUCUGAAUAUCGAAAAACUGGCCUGAAUGCCACUUCGGUCUGAAGAACGGAAAAUUGGCCUGAAUGCCACUUCGGUCUGAAUACCGGAAAAAACUGGCUUGGAUGCCACUUCGGUCUGAAUACCGGAAAAUUGGCCUUAAUGACAUUUUGGUCUGAAUACCGGAAAAUUUCAUGCCUAUCAGCAUCGGUAGAAAUAGGAAAAAUGAUAAUUGAGGCGGCACGUGGGCCAACGACCUAUGCUGGGGAUAAUAGGUCAUGAACAACCUUCAGUCUGAGCACUGGAAACAAGCUUAUGGUUUAUCACUUGGGAUAUCGUGAAUGUUUUAUGCUUUACAUGCAUAUGUUUGAAUUUUUCGAUGGCGUAAUGCUCCAUGAAAAUGGAAAUCCUACGCGAUUUGGAUGGAUGCAAUGCAAUAUGAUUCUACAUGCAGGGAUGCGAAAUACUAGGGAGAAUGCCAAGCCGAGGCAGGGAAUUCUGCUGGGGAAAAGAUCACAAUCUUCUGGACCCUGGCGAUGCUGUUGGAGAUGCACAGCACAAAGAAACCUGUGGGGAAAGACCAACCACACGGUGUUCCGGCAAUAACAAAAUACCGAGACUCUGACUGGGGAGAGAAUGGCAUUGAAAGUCUGCUGCUGAGGGAAGCGACGGUGGUUCUGGCAACCACAAUCUGCGAGAGAGACGUCUCAGCAGGGGAAGCAAACACUGAUACGGUACCGAGAUUCUGCUUCAAGGAAAGAGACCAAGGGUCUAGUGUCGAGAUCGUCGAUCCGGCAUCGAACUCUGAGGAGCAUUCGCUUCUGUUGGGAAGAUACAAUCUGGCACUGUCAACUCCGCUGGGGAUAUACAGUCUGGCCCUGUCAACUCUACUGGGGAGUGUAUAAUCUGAAACAACCGAUUAGGGGAGUACAGUGGUGAGAACCUGCUGGGGAUUGAAGAAUCCAAUGCUUGGACCAGCUCUACAGGGAUAAGGUACCAAAUACCAAUUGUUGAAGAAAAGCAAUCGCGAUCGUCUGCUGGGAACCUUAAGGAAAUGCCCCAAGUGUACCUGUUCUAAAUAGACGACCCAAAGCACUCAAAAUUUACAGCAAUUUUAAAUGUUUAUUGAGCAUGUACCUGUAAAGCUCUUAUGUUUCAUGAUGCAAUGUUUAUCAAAAAUUCGGACGUCAUUUUUGCAAACAAAACAGUAAAAUGAAAAUGAGAACAGAAAUAUACUGAAUAACAUGAUUUCAUUGAUUGAAUAGCCUCUGAAUAGGCAUCUACAUCAGGAAGCAAUUCCUGGAAAGAGGUAAUUACACAAGAGAUAAAAACAGAGAUUAAUCUAAUAGCAAUGUGAAAUGGAUUUCUAUCGGGUUCCAAUUCUGCUAUGACUCGCUCGUCUUCAAGAUCCUCCAGAUGAUCAGCCUUCUGAAAAAGGUGACUGGACUGUUUCAUAUCCUUCAAAAAUUUCCAAUUAUCGACAUGAGAUGAGAUUCAGAACUACUCAGAACGCAAUCAUUCACUUAAUCCCUAACUUUUGCCUGGAUCACCCUUUCGGGUUUUCAAUCCACCGGGAUACCCAUUUUUGCCUAAGUUGCCUUUUCAGGUUUUCAACUUACCGGGUGUACAAUCUUUUCAUUUUUAAUCCCAGGAUCACCCUUUCGGGUUUUCAAUCCACCGGGAUACCCAUUUUUGCCUAAGUUGCCUUUUCAGGUUUUCAACUUACCGGGUGUACAAUCUUUUCAUUUUUAAUCCCUAACUUUUGCCUGAACCUUUUUUCAAUUUCUUGGUUCGUCGGGAUGCCCAUUUUUGCCUGGACUAUUCUUUGUAUUGUCCAGCGGGUCUGUUUUAUGCGAAGUAUUUUUUAACUGCGUCUGAGUUCACAGGGGAAGUGAAGUCUUCACCAUCCAUCGUUGCAAGCAUUAAGGCUCCACCAUCAAAAAUCUUGGUGACAAUAUAUGGUCCUUCAUAGUUAGGAGUCCACUUGCCCCUGUGAUCUAUCUGAGGAGGAAGGAUCCUUUUCAACACCAAAUCUCCGACUUGGAAACACCGAGGACGCACUUUCUGAUCAAAGGCUCUCUUCAUCCGACCCUGAUACAACUGCCCAUGAAAAAUGGCUGCCAUUCGCUUCUCUUCGAUAAGACUCAACUCGUUGAACCUUGUCCGAAUCCAUUCAGCUUCAUCUAACUUGACAUCCAACAGGACUCUUAGAGAAGGAAUCUCCACUUCAACAGGUAAGGACUGCUUCCAUCCCAUACACAAGGGAGUAAGGGGUUGCCGCCGAUAGAUGCGUACUGAAGUACGGUACCCAUGCAAGGCGAAGGGUAGCAUCUCAUGCCAAUCUCUGUACGUAACAACCAUCUUCUGCACAAUCUUCUUUAUGUUCUUAUUUGCUGCCUCAACAGCACCGUUCAUCUUGGGACGAUAAGGGGAAGAAUUGUGAUGCUGAAUGUUGAAGUUCUGGCACAACUCCUUCAUCAUUUUGUUAUUGAGAUUAGAACCAUUAUCAGUAAUGAUUCUUUCGGGAACCCCAUAACGACAAAUAAUUUCUUUCUUAAUGAAUCGGGCAACCACAUGUCUGGUGACCUUCGCAAAUGACGCUGCUUUGACCCACUUGGUGAAAUAAUCGAUGGCAACAAGGAUGAAGCGAUGCCCAUUGAAGGCAGUCGGCUCAAUCUUUCCAAUCAUAUCAAUGCCCCACAUAGCAAACGGCCAUGGCGAAGACAUCACAUUCAGAGGAUUUGGCGGCACAUGCACCUUAUCAGCAUAAAUCUGGCAUUUAUGGCACUUCCGAGCAUAUUUGAAACACAUCAGAUUCAUGGUCAUCCAGUAUAACCCGCUCUCAACAAUUUCUUAGCCAUUGCAUGUCCAUCGGCGUGAGUACCGAAGGUGCCUUCAUGAACUUCUCUGCUAUUAACAUGUCCGCUUUGUGUCUAUCCACGCAUCUGAGAAAACCAUGUCGAAGUUCCUCUUAUACAGCACAUCAUCUUUGUUCAAGAAGAAACUGCCUGCCAAUCUUCUCAAAGUCUUUCUGUCAUUGUUGGAUGCCCCUGCAGGGUACUCUUGAUUCUUCAGAAAGCACUUGAUGUCGUAAUACCAGGGCUUGUCAUCAACCACCAGUUCAGCAGCAAACACAUACGCGGCCCUAUCAAGGCGCAUAACAUCAAUCCUGGGAGCAUGGUUCCACCGAAUCACCUUGAUCAUGGAUGAUAGAGUAGCAAGAGCAUCCGCCAUCUGGUUCUCAUCACGAGGUAUAUGAUAUAGCUUUACUGUUGUGAAGAAAGUCAACAGUCUUCUCGUGUAAUCUCUGUAAGGGACCAGAGUAGGCUGGAGAGUAUUCCAAUCACCGUUCACUUGAUUGAUCACCAGAGCUGAAUCUCCGAAGAUGUCUAGAGUUUUGAUUCUCAAAUCAAUGGCUUGCUCAAUUCCCAAGAUGCAGGCCUUAUAUUCAGCUUCAUUAUUGGUGCACUCGAAAGUCAAACGAGCGGUGAAAGGCAUGUGGGCACCUUUCGGAGUAGUAAUGACAGCACCAAUUCCACUUCCUUUGGCAUUGACGGCCCCAUCAAACGUUAAAGUCCAUUUUUCAUCUGGAUUAGGUCCCUCCUCAACGGCUGGCUCUUCUCAAUCUUUCAUCUUGAGGAACAUGAUGUCUUUAUCUGGAAAAUCAAACUUCAAUGGCUCAUAAUCAUCAAUCGGUUGUUAAGCAAGAUAGUCUGACAGAAUACUCCCUUCGAUGGCUUUUUGGGAUGUAUACUGGAUGUCGUACUCUGUCAGUACCAUUUGCCAAGGAGCAACCCUUCCGGUGAGAGUUGGCUUCUCGAAUAUAUACUUGACUGGAUCCAUCUUGGAGAUCAGUAAGGUUGUGUGAGUCAGCAUGUAUUGUCUCAAACGCUUGGCAGCCCAUGCAAGGGCACAACAUGUCUUUUCAAGCAUUGAGUAUCUCGACUCGCAAUCUGUGAAUUUUUUACUCAGGUAGUAAAUGGCAUGCUCUUUUCUACCUGUCUCGUCGUGUUGACCGAGAACACAACCCAUGGAAUUGUCGAGUACUGUCAAGUACAUAAUCAGCGGUCUCCCUGGGACUGGAGGCAUGAGGAUGGGAGGAUUCUGCAAAUACUCUUUUAUCUUUUCAAAAUCCCUCUGACAAUCAUCAUUCCACCUGAUAGCCUGAUCUUUUUUUAACAACUUAAAAAUUGGCUCACACGUGGCGGUUAGGUGAGAGAUGAACCUUGCAAUGUAGUUCAACCUUCCUAAGAAACCACGGACUUGCUUCUCUAUUCUUGGCUCAGGCAUUUCUUGUAUUUCUUUCACUUUGAUAGGAUCCACCUCAAUCCCUUUUUCACUAACAAUGAAACCCAGUAGUUUUCUAGAUCUCACCCCGAAAGUGCACUUGUUCGGAUUAAGCCUCAGCUUGAAUUUCCUCAACCGUUCAAACAGUUUCCGUAGAUUCACCAAAUGUUCUUCUUCUGUCUGAGAUUUGGCAAUCAUAUCAUCCACAUAAACCUCGAUUUCAUGAUGAAUCAUAUCAUGGAAAAGAGUUACCAUAGCUCGUUGAUAUGUUGCCCCAGCGUUCUUCAGGCCAAACGGCAUCACCUUGUAGCAGAAGGUGCCCCAUGGGGUUAUGAAAGUUGUCUUCUCCAUGUCUUCUGGUGCCAUCUUAAUCUGAUUAUAGACAGAAAAGCCAUCCAUGAAGGAGAAUACCGAGAACUGAGACGUGUUAUCCACCAAAACGUCGAUGUGAGGUAAUGGGAAAUCAUCUUUAGGACUAGCUCUGUUCAGAUCCCAGUAGUCAACACACAUCAGUACUUUUCCAUCCUUCUUAGGCACGGGAACGAUGUUUGCAACCCAUGGCGGAUAAUUGGUAACUGCUAGAAACCCUGCAUCCAACUGCUUUUACACUUCUUCUUUUAUCUUGACAGCCAUCUCUGGUCUUGUUCUUCUGAGCUUCUGCUUGACCGGAGGACAACCCUCUUUGAGAGGCAAAUGGUGCACCACAAUGUAUGUGUCAAGCCCUGACAUAUCCUGAUAAGACCAGGCGAAGAUGUCAACAUACUCUUGCAGCAGUUCAAUCAACCCCUUCUUCACAUCAUCUUCCAAAGAAGCCCCUAUCUUGAUUUCUCUCUUGGCGCCCUUGGUGCCGAGAUUAAUCACUUCAGUAGACUCUUGAUGCGGUUGAAUGACCAUUUCCUCUUGUUUUAACAACCUGGCAAGUUCUUCAGGGAGUUCACAGUCUUCAUCACCCUCUUCUUCAGCUUGAAAGAUCGGAUUUUCAAAGUCGAAGCGAGCCAUAGCAGAACCGUUAUCAAUAGGAUCCGGUGACGUGCAUCUGCAUGAGUGAUGGUAUGUGCUUAUGAGUGUGAACAGUGAGUGAAAACUAAACAAAACAUUGCCAAAUAUUUUUUGAUUUUUGGUUUUUGAAAACUGCAAAAAUAGAAAGACAGUGAACAAAAUUUUGAAUGCAAAAGACGUCCUUUAUUUAUGAUAAAAAAUGCAAGUAGUCACAUAGAUGAGCCCUACAAUGAGUCAUUACGCCCUGGGCGGAACGUAAGACUUGGACAUGCAUGAACAAACAAGAAAAAUUACUCUUCAAGAAGAGUGACUUGAACAAUCUCCUCAGAAGACCAAUUGUUGAUGACCUCACCCGGGAUCCUCGGACGCAUCCAGUUGUCAAUGUCGCAAUCACUAUCCCCGGCUUCUUCGUUGAUUGUUAAUAUCUGGCCAUACUGAAUGAUGCCAGCACUGGAGAAAGUAAUCGGCCCCUGACGAGUCUGAGGCGCUGAAGUUGUAGAAGUAAGAGCUGGCUGAUACCCAAUCCCGAACUUGUCUUCUUUCAUCGGUAACUCCAACAGACGUCCCCAACCGGGAGCAACACCUGAAUCUACCACUGCUUGUGCCUGCUUGAAGGACGAGAUAGAGGCACCUACUUUAACCUCUUCCACCGGAGCUGCAUCCCUGACUUGGUCAUCAACUGUCUUUAUGGUCAUCCAGUUAUGGACAAUUUUUGAUCAACAAUAAAGCAAUCGACUCUACAUCUAGGGUCCAUAGUGGUUUCAGGUAGAAGGAUGGUAUACACCACUAUCACCAUGAGAAUAACUUAUGACACUUUGCAUAACAUUCUAUGUAGUAUUCUCAUAGCGGGUCAAUCCAGUAUAAAUAUUACUCCUGAUAUUCAUACAUAUGUUUAAGACUUGAUAACUCUUUAUCCAUGAUCCAUGAGAUGUGAUCAUCAGUCUAUAUACAUAAUAGUCUCAAUGCUUUAAUAUUAUCUCACUUCAUAACAAAGCUCGACUAUGGAUACUUUAAGAAUAAUGACCUUAUGUUUAAUGGGAUCUCAUGAUUAAGUCACACUUGAUACAUUAAACAGACUAGCUAGUCUAGGGACUUUAUUAAACAAACAUAAUAAAGAAUUUUUUUUUAUUAUUAAUAAAUAAUUUGAUACAAGUACCGAAAAUAUUGGCCUCUAGGGCUUACACCAAAGAUGUUUACCUAGAAUAAUACAUUCUUUACAUAGAAUAUUAAAAUAAAAAUUAAUUAGUCUAUAAAGAUCAUAUGUUAGAUCUUUGAAUCCUUGAUAUUUGAGCAAGAUGAAAUGUUGGGUGCGAAUAUAUUCGCAAUGGCUUUAUCUCACAUGGAUUUAUUUCUGAUAUAAAAAAAAGACUUGAUAAAAAAAGGGUUGAUAAAAAAAAGGUUAGAUAAAUAAAUGAUUUUUGCUCAAAUAAAUAUUUAAGAACACAGUCCUUAAACCCAAAUAAUUUUAUGCUCUUGCAAUCCAUCUUAGCGAUCUUUUCAUGGCAAAUGAUCUUCCAAAUCUUAAAGAUGUGGAUGUAGAUAGUUUCAAGCGCUUCAUGAUGAUUCACUUGCUUCUUCAUAUUCAUAAAUAUGCUUUUAUAAUGUAAUUUUUUUAUGUUUCACGCGGAUCACUAAUGGUAGUGUCUUGAGCAUUGAUAGUCAUGAAAUAAACCAUAAAUAUUUGAUCAACAUAAUCACUCAUGGUUUUUUAUGUUUAGGUAACAUACUUUAACCCUCGUUUUAAUAGAAAAUUGAGGUAAAUAAUUUAUUUAUUUUUAUAUUUCAUUAAUUAUAAAGAAUAUUAACAAAAUUUUAUUAUUUUAUAGUAAAAUCUGUUUAUUUUAUCUCUCGGUUAUUAGGGCGACCGACGUGAUAGAUCAUUUAGUUUACAAAUAAAAAAGAAAGAUUCAUGGAUUGUUGGUAAUAUGUGGUUUUUCCCCUCGGUAAUAUGAAAAACCCAAGGUAAUAUAUGGUUUUUAUAUUUUUUUUUAAAUAAAACAUUGUGCCUUGGAAUCAUAUCACUAGAAUAAUAAUUAUCAUCCCUAUUUAAAACGUAACGUAUCUUUUGGAUUUUCAAGGAUGUGUUUGAGCUUCUCUGAUUAUUUCACUUCCUCUUUUUCAACUUAUUUAUACACUAUUAAGGUCUCAUUUCAUUUUCAUUUCUUUAUGUCUUCAAAUCUAAUUUAAAUGUCUUUUCUUUUUAUUCAAAAAAUGUCUACAAAAACCUUCAACAGAGAUGGAAAUGUUUUGUUCGUUAUCAAUGAAAAAUUUGUUAAGUUCGAUGAGUUGAAAGACAAAGAUUUUGAUCUAAUGAAAACUAUUUCCAAACAAAAGUUGAAAGGUUACUUUAACAUGCUUCAUGGACUCAUCUACACUAAUCUCAUAACAGAAUUCUGGUUAAAUACCUCUGUUAGGCAAUCUAGUCAGACAAUACAGUCCAAUGUAUAUGAAUUUCCUAUAACUAUUACUCGGACACUUAUUGCUCAGACAAUAAAGCGUGACGAGAAAGGUAGUUAUGUUGAACAUUGUAGAUUCAAAAAUUUCUUCUCAACCCACCUUCGCCUCAUUUAUGUCAACUACAAUAAGCUCAUCAGUUCUGAUACUCUCAUCCCAAUUGCAAAAGCUUGACAUUAACUUCUAGUGUCAAAUCUCCAUCAAAGAGAGAAACAACUAGAAAUGCUUAUUUCAGAUGACAAACAUCUUUUGUACUUCCUUAUCCAUAACGUCAAAAUUAAUCUUCCUCUUAUUAUUUUUAACUUCUUAAUGGAAAUGGUUGUGACCUCUCGCGAGGAAAUGACUUUCCUCAUACCAUAUGGAAGAGUUUUUUCUGAACUUUUCUCUCAGUUAGGGAUAGUUAAAAGGGUAAAAAGAGCAUGAUUAACUAUUGAAGUUGAGUGGAGAUAGAAGUUUGAAUAUGUGGAAUAUUUAUCUGUUGUCCUGUUUUUUUGUAAUAUGUAAUUGAUUAUCAAUGAAAUUUUUUCUUUCCUUUUCAAUCGUAGAUUGCCUAACAUUUUUUAUGAUAGCAAAUAUUUUGAGUUUUACUAAUUAACUUAUUAAGAAAUGAAGAAAAAAAAUUUAACAAAGAAAAUAUGGAAACUGGAAAGGCGUCAAGUGAGAAAUAGUAAUUAAACCAUUAAGAAAAAAACAUAAAAAUGAAGUAACCGGGAUUUGAAGCGACCUCCCUAAUAUUUAUAUUCCAAAAAACCGAGGUAAUAGGUUAUAUUAAAAAUAAAAUAACGCUCCCUUAUAGAUAUCUUCCCUCGGUUUUAUGGAAAACUAAGGUAACAAGUUGUUAGUUUGACGCUACCAGGAACUAUACUCUCGGUUUUUAGCAUGUUCGAGGUGAAAGUUUCAUCAUAAAAAGUGUUAUUUAUAGUAGUGACACUAAAAAAUUUAUGGCACUAACCUUGAUAUAUCCUUCCACAUUUUUUGUGCGAUUGCUCUUGUUUUUUCAGCCAUUUAUUAGACCCCAAACCCUAAGUUUUGACCUCUAAGAGUCCCAAAAUAUACCAUACAUCACUGUACAUGAAAACAUAUGAAUAUUUAUCAUAUUUUAACAUCUAACUCAAUAAUACAUCAUUUAUCUAUGACUAACAUACAAUUCACACAAUUCAUCAUGGAUUCAUCGUAGCAACACAUAUAAGCACAAGGUCCAUCAAUAAUCUUCAAUAAUUCAUCAAAAAUCAUUUAUAAGAAGAAAAAACUAAGAACCCUAAUGAGGUUAAGGCUCCUCAUCACUACCCCAUCAUGAAAUACGCCUAAUUGGUAGCCAUUUCUCCCUUUACCUUAGAUUUCUAGCAAUUUAUGUCAAAACAAGCAACUUUUAUGGCUUGCCUCUUCAAAAUCCUAGCUUUUGCUCUUCUCCCUUCCAAAAGCUCUUUCUCUCCUCUUUGCCUUCUAUCUCAAUUUUCACGUACUGAUAAAACUAGGCAAGUCUCCUCUUACUCCCAAUAUAUCCUUAUGGUUUUCUACACUACUAUUUCCAAUUACCUCAUUAAUCCCCAAUGUUCUUAAUUCACAUUAUUUCCCAACUCCCUAACUUCUUGCUCCUCUCUAUUUCUCCAAAUCCCAUAAAUGGUCCAAUUCUAUCAUUUUACUAUUUUAUUUAAUUAAUCUAAAUAAAAUUUUAUUUAUUCUAAUAAUUAAUUAAAGUUCUAGUUAAUUCUAAACAAUCACAUUAAACUCUUACUCUCUUUAUACCUCUACUUCAAAGACACUUACCCCCAUCACCACACAACAAAUAAUUAAAACACCAAUCAAUCAAAUAAAAUUAUAAAUAAUCUAAUUAAAAUAAUUCAUCGAAUUUGGAGAUUUACAUCCUACAUUUUCGGCAAUAUAAUUUUCUCAUCAUAAACAUCUAUGUCUUCAAAUCCUUGAAUGUUAAAUUCUUUAGCCUUCUUCCAUGUAAUCGCAACAACAUCUUCUAAUCUUCUUUUCCAGAAUCUUGAAUUACCUCUCACCAUGUCAGAAUCUGACAUGGACUAACAACACAAUGCUAUUCCUCUUGAGAAAUUAUCUUGCGUUGAGCGAAAAAGAUCAAUUGGAACCUUUGUUCCACCUAUAAUCUCCUUCUGAAAAUGCAAAUAAGAAGGCCAAAUGUAAAAAAUAAGAGUCUUGAGCAACGUCAACCCCUUUAGCGUUCAAAAACGAUGAAACACCCCUUGUUUUUUUCGGGCUUCUUUAGGGCUUGGGUUUGAUGAUUCCCAAAGCAACUACUUGCACACGACUGAUUUGGUAGAACUACUCUUUUAUUAAAAUUGGAUAUCCUUUUUGUUUUGUUAAUUUUUCAAUUUUUUAUAUUUUGAAUUAAAAUGUUUGAAUUUUUGGUUGAAGAACCUUGUGUAAAGAUGAUGAAGAUUUGUGAAUAUGAUGAUGGAGGUAGAGAUUAAGGAAGUCAAUUAAAAAGAUAUAAAAAAUUUAUGAUUCAUUAUUAUAUUAACAGAAAUAAUAUAUUUACAUCUGAUUGUACACCUACAUCAUAUCAAAAUAUAUAUAUAUAUAUAUAUAUAUAUACAUUAAUAAAUUUAUUUGAAAUAUUAUGAUAUUAAAUAAUUUUAAAAAUAAUAUAUAAAAUUAUUAUUAUUGUUAUUUAAAUUAAAGAGGUAUCGAUAUAAAAAUGUGUGAUUAAUCAACUUUAUAAUUUUAUUAACUAACAUUUUAUAUUUUAUUAAUCAAUUUUAUUUUAUUAAUAAAAAUUAUUUUUAAUAUCUUAAAAUUUAUUAAUCAACUUCAUCACUUUACUAACCAAUUUUUUAAUUUUCAUUAAACAACUUUAUUUUACUAUUAAAAACUCCUUUUUAAUAUCUAAGCGUUUAUUAACCAACUUCAUCACUUUAUUAAUCUAUUUUUUAUAUUUUAUUAACCAAUUUUAUUUUACUAUAAAAUAAACAUUGUUCAUGCACUAUGCACGAACACAUAGGUACUAUUCACAUGUGUACACGGGUACUGUUCACACAUAGGUACUAUUCACAUGAUAUUGUUUUCACAUGAUAUUGUUCAUAUAUUGUUCAUGUAUUUUUCAUUGUUCAUGAUCUUGUUCACUGUAUUUGUGAAUAAUACAUACGGUAUAGUAUAUGAUAUUGAAUAAUACAUACGGUAUAGUAUAUGAUAUUGAUGUAAACAUAACACUCAUCUUAUAUUAAAUAGACUUUCACUGUAUUCAUCACUUUAUUAACCAAUUUUUUACUUUUCAUUAAACAACUUUAUUAUACGGUAUAGUAUAUGAUAUUGAUGUAAACAUAACACUCAUCUUAUAUUAAAUAGACUUUCACUGUAUUCAUCACUUUAUUAACCAAUUUUUUACUUUUCAUUAAACAACUUUAUUUUACUAUUAAAAACUCUUCUUUAAUAUCUAAGCGUUUAUUAACCAACUUCCUCACUUUAUUAAUCAAUUUUUUAUAUUUUAUUAACCAAUUUUAUUUUACUAUAAAAUAAACAUUGUUCAUGCACUAUGCACGAACACAUAGGUACUAUUCACAUGUGUACAGGGGUACUGUUCACACAUAGGUACUAUUCACAUGAUAUUGUUUUUACAUGAUAUUGUUCAUAUAUUGUUCAUGUAUUUUUCAUUGUUCAUGAUCUUGUUCACUGUAUUUGUGAAUAAUACAUACGGUAUAGUAUAUGAUAUUGAUGUAAACAUAACACUCAUCUUAUAUUAAAUAGACUUUCACUGUAUUCAUCACUUUAUUAACCAAUUUUUUACUUUUCAUUAAACAACUUUAUUAUACGGUAUAGUAUAUGAUAUUGAUGUAAACAUAACACUCAUCUUAUAUUAAAUAGACUUUCACUGUAUUCAUCACUUUAUUAACCAAUUUUUUACUUUUCAUUAAACAACUUUAUUUUACUAUUAAACUCUUCUUUAAUAUCUAAGCGUUUAUUAACCAACUUCAUCACUUUUAUUAAUCAAUUUUUUUAUAUUUUAUUAACCAAUUUUAUUUUACUAUAAAAAAAACAUUGUUCAUGUACUAUGCACGAACACAUAGAUACUAUUCACAUGUGUACAGGGGUACUGUUCACACAUAGGUACUAUUCACAUGAUAUUGUUUUCACAUGAUAUUGUUCAUAUAUUGUUCAUGUAUUUUUCAUUGUUCAUGAUCUUGUUCACUAUAUUUGUGAAUAAUACAUACGGUAUAGUAUAUGAUAUUGAUGUAACAUAACACUCAUCUUAUAUUAAAUAGACUUUCACUGUAUUCAUCACUUUAUUAACCAAUUUUUUACUUUUCAUUAAACAACUUUAUUUUACUAUUAAAAACUAUUCUUUAAUAUCUAAGCGUUUAUUAACCAACUUCAUCACUUUAUUAAUCAAUUUUUUAUAUUUUAUUAACCAAUUUUAUUUUACUAUAAAAAAAACAUUGUUCAUGCACUAUGCACGAACACAUAGGUACUAUUCACAUGUGUACAGGGGUACUGUUCACACAUAGGUAUUAUUCACAUGAUAUUGUUUUCACAUGAUAUUGUUCAUAUAUUGUUCAUGUAUUUUUCAUUGUUCAUGAUCUUGUUCACUGUAUUUGUGAAUAAUACAUACGGUAUAAUAUAUGAUAUUGAUGUAAACAUAACACUCAUCUUAUAUUAAAUAGACUUUCACAAUUCAAACGAAUAACAUUUAGCGAAAAUAUUCAAUAGUUAAAAAGAAAAAAGUAAAUUUAUAUUGGAUUAUCAAUAAUAUUCUUCCACUUUAAAUAUUUAGAAUUGAAAUUUGAAGGAAUAAACUAAUUUGACUAAUAAAGAUUAAACUAUAAUGUAACAUAUAUUAAUUAUGAAAUUAAUAUAAAUUAAAUAAUUAAGUUAAAGAAAUAAAUUAUAAUUAAACUUUUUAUAUAUUUUUUUAAUUUGUGUAGAUUCACAUGUGGACCGGCUAUUUUCAAAUAAAAAACAUAAAUUUUAAUAAACUACUUAUUGUUGUUGUAGUUGAGUCAAAUAAAUAAAUAAAGGGUAAUGCUAACUUGUGCCAUAAAGAAACAAAGUUUUGGAAAUUGUGGAUUGAUCGUUCUCUGCACUAUGCACGAACACAUAGGUACUAAUUUAAAAAGAGUAUUAUUAAAUCUCUGGGAAAAAACUAUUGAUCGUUCUCCUCUAUAUCUUUUAGCUUUGAUCUUCGUGUCACUAAUAUGAAUAUAAGGAGCUAAUUAUAAAUAUAACUAUCACAUGUAAAAAAAAACCCUCCCCACAACCAAUCUUACAAAUAAAUUUAGCUUUGAGGACUUCGCUUUAACUAUACGCUAAAUAUAUGAAGAAUUUUGAGUCACAUUACAUACAUUUUCUUUUCCUUCUUAAUUUUAUUUCAAGAUCUCCCUCUUCAUCUUCAAACUUGUUAAUAAAUCCUUAAAAAUGUAAAGAGUAUUAAAAUAUAUCAUUUUCUAUAUAGUUAUGCUCAAAUCUAAUUUUUUACUUACUAAUAGAAGUUUGUAAUAUUAAUAAAAUAUAUAUUUAAAUAAUAAUAAGUAUAACUAAUAAUUUAAAUUUUAGCUUAUAUUCAAGAACAAAGAGUUUUUAUAAAGUUUAUAAUUAUGACCUAGAUAUUAUACUAAUAAACUUAUUUUAUGUUAAAUAAUAAUAAGUAUAACUAAUAAUUUAAAAUUUAGCUUAUAUUCAAGAACAAAGAGUUUUUAUAGAGUUUAUAAUUAUGAUCUAUAUAUUAUACUAAUAAACUUAUUUUAUGUUAAAUCUGGUUUACCACAUGUCAAAGUUUGAAAGUUUAGUCGGUACUUGAUUUAUAAUUAUUAACAGUAGUUUUCUUGUUCUUUAAGUGGUUAUUCAGAGGGAGAAAUUAUGUCAAUCAUAUGUGUGGGUUCCUUAUCUACUUUAAAGAAUGUUAAAUAUGUAUAUGAGAAGUUGAACUAAUAUUCUAAGAAAUGCAUAAAAAAUAAAAGAAACUAAAAGACAUAAAAUGCGUAAAAUAAUUUAUUUUAUUGAUCAAAUCUUGUUAACUAUUUACAAAGUGUGACAUUUAUAGAGGAAAUUGUCACACUAGUCAUAUCACUGUGACAAGUAAACAAUGUUCUCACGAUCAAAUAUUUAUGUGGGUAAUGCGUGAGUGUUUAUACUAAUUUAGGAUAUGUGACACCUCACAUUUCCUAACAUGUAGUUAUAGAAUCAACGCUUUAUUUGGUUAAUGGAGCUAGAAACACUAAAUGUAGACAUAAUCCCAACUAUCCAGUCUUAUUGUGCUUUUGAAUGUGUUUAGAUUCUUUUCAUCCAUAAUAGACAUAGUAGAUAUGAUAAAGAUUUGGUUAGCUCAUGUUCAGGUUUUUUAUACUCAUCUGACUCUUCCUGGGUUGGGAAACCUUCGAUUAGUCCUAAACUCUUCUAUUUGCCAAAUUUCAACUGAUGUUUUAGCUUUUUAGGUGUAAACAAAUGUAUUAAUGUAUUUCAUUGUCAAGUAAUCUUCUCGAUUAUCAAAAGUAUUCUAUUGAGUCUAAUGUCUUUCUUUUUUGGGCAUAUUCUCUAGAUAAGUUGGUUUUUGUACCCCUAUCAAGAAGCAUGGAUUCUUCUUCCCAAAAUUAAAAUCUUGCUAUAUCCUUUUUCCAUGUGCAAGACAAUGUUACUUUAUAUCCUUAUACACGUGAUGUGGCUUCUAGAGCUUUCUUCUUUGAACCCACUAAAUCAAUACUUCCUUUUUAUUAUGUUUGGUUACUACCAAAAGAAAGUCGACUGAGUUUACAACACAUCCUCAUCCAUCUAUUGAUAAUCUAACUUGACUUUGUAGGGUUGAAGUUUCUAAAUGACACAUUUAGAAGAGAACGAGUAUUUAAAAGAUGAACAUGAUUCCUAGGAAAGAUGUGAGGAUUGAUGUGGAACAUCUUUUUAGCCUCCUAGUAUAUUGGUUUGCAAUUUGUAAUUCUUUUUUCAGUUGGGAUAUCAUGACCCAAUUACCUUGAUGUAAUCAUCAUCAUUGGCUUGCCCACCCUCAAAAUUGAGGCUUGUAAAACCCAUGAUACUCAUAUCCCUUCUCAAGAUUUUUAAUUUUUGAGGGAUAUUUCCAACUACGAUGCCUUUUUGAAUCAUAACAUUUGAACCACAAAGAAUAUUACAAAAGUAGAGCGUAAUGUGUUUUUGCUCUUCUAGUUUAGCAAAUUUUUUCGUUUGCACAAGUUUUGUAGUCGUCGUUUAGGAAUUGAAAUUAUAUGUUGCUUUAUUGUAGUCCAACUCAAUUAUAACAAAGGGAUAUUUUCUUAUGUUCUCCUAUACCAUUCCUUACACACCAUAAUAGUUUGGUUGAUGGGGAACUCAGAAAUAAAGAACGUGAGUGGGCUACUCUAGUUCCACCAACUCUACUCUUUGCUAUACUUUUUACGGGUUUUGAUUAAAGAAUUUAAUCUUAGCUUAAUUCCAGAAAUGAAAAACAUUAAGGAGAAUACUAAAAUGUUUUGCAAAUGAUAAUGACUUUUUCUCUUCCAUCGUGAUUUGGUUAUUGCCAUUGACCUAUAAUUAACCCAGUUGAAUCUCAGACGUGUUAAAAGAGUGCAACCUGUCUUGGACGUUCGAUGUAGAAAACGAAACCCUUUUGCAUCAAUCAUUAUAAACUAUUAAUAAUAACUGGUCGAGAAUCCGGACAAAAAGAGUUUUGCUAUACGAACUUCACCCUAAUAAAAGGAAGAAAAAGAUUUCAGUUGAAUGGAUAAUAGACAAUUUUGUAGUUCCAUGGAUAAUAGACAAUAACCUUAAUACAACCGAUGUGGAAAAAAUGUGUUAACUAAGCAUAAAAAAAAUCACUCAUUUUUUGAUGACAGCAUUUCUUGUUCCAUAGGAGAAACAAACUGCUUUGCAAAUUGGUGGCAUCUUUUAAAAGGCAAUGUCUAUAAGGAGGUGAUCCUUUAAGGCUUUGAGUUUUGCUUGCUAAUUUAGAUAUGAUUCUCCCAAAUACAUAUGAGAAACAUGUUACAUUAAAAUCCUUUAAUUAAAUUACUAAGUGAGUUGGGAAUUAUUCACACACAAGCAAAAUCUUUAAUUUGAAUAUUAUGAGAAAUAUAUAGAUUAACUUUAAAAGCAUCAUUUAUGAUAGAAAUCCAAACUUCUAGAUUUGUCUUAGUGAGUUAAUUUAUAUAAGCUUCAUGACUAUGAAUAUCAUGAGCAAUAACUCUUGUAUGAGAAGAAAUAUAAUGCCACCAUUCAACACAAAGAUUUGAAUAUUGUGUAAUGUAGUUUAUAAUAAGAUAGUUAAAUAAAUGUAUGCGCUCGGUGUAAAAGAAACUAAUUUAUACAUAUAGAGUUAAAAAUCAUGAGUUUGAGUUUAAAAAAAAAGAAUGAAAAUGAGUAAUGUAAAAUAAGUUAGUUAAAUAAAAUGAUGAAUAUAUUAUUAUUAUAUAAAUAUAUUGUUGAGAGUGAGAGGGGUUUGUUGUUGAGUUGAGUCCCCAAUCAGCGAGAUUCUCUCUCUCCACACUUUUCUUUUUCUGUGUGUCCGUUGGAACCAAACAGUUCUCUUUCUCUCUCCUUUCUUUGUCAAACAAACACACAGACAACACACAAACACACACUCCCUUUCAUUCUUUUUCUUCACUCUCUCCCACUCUCUCUAUCUCUUUCACACACAUUACAUUACACAACCCUUUUUCUUUUUCUUCUUCCACCGUAACAUGACCACACUCUUUACAAUCACACACCACCAUUUACGGUUAUGAAUCCCCAACCACAAACUCAACAACAACCACCACCACCACCACAACAACAACCACCUCCACCGCCACAGCUUCAACCAAACCGUCCCUCCACCUCCUGUGACAUCCACCCUCAAGAGACUUUCACAGGCUUCUGCCCUUCAUGCCUAUGCGAACGCCUCGCCGUUCUCGAUCCAAACAACAACAACAACGCCUCCUCCUCUUCCACCUCCAACCGCAAACCGCCCACUUCCUCCACUGCCGCCGCUGCACUUAAAGCCAUUUUCCGUCCUUCCACUUCCCAGCGCA